RNAcentral lists this ribosomal RNA (374 nucleotides) under uncultured organism. RNAcentral's name for it is "partial 16S ribosomal RNA". It matches the Rfam family "Bacterial small subunit ribosomal RNA", at positions 527 to 896 of the family's 1533-position model. The record is from RNAcentral.
GUAGGGUGCGAGCGUUGUCCGGGAAUUACUGGGGCGUAAAGAGCUCGUAGGUGGUUUGUCGCGUCGUUGUGUAAGCCCGCAGCUUAACUGCGGGGACUGCAGGCGAUACGGGCAUAACUUGAGUGCUGUAGGGGAGACUGGAAUUCCUGGUGUAGCGGUGGAAUGCGCAGAUAUCAGGAGGAACACCGAUGGCGAAGGCAGGUCUCUGGGCAGUAACUGACGCUGAGGAGCGAAAGCAUGGGGAGCGAACAGGAUUAGAUACCCUGGUAGUCCAUGCCGUAAACGGUGGGCGCUAGGUGUGAGUCCCUUCCACGGGGUUCGUGCCGUAGCUAACGCAUUAAGCGCCCCGCCUGGGGAGUACGGCCGCAAGGCUA